UCAUGAGUAGAAGAGACUUAAACACUCGAAAAAUACUUAUAAAAGUAUUUAAAUUUUUGCGUAAAAAAGUAUUGACAUUUAAAUCUGUUUAAGGACAGUAGCGAAGUUUGAAGACAAAGCAUACAUAUUCAAGAUAUAUCUUUUCACCAUGGAACCAAACUCUUGGGGUUGUAUGUUAAUGUUUGCACUAAUUUGUUGACUAAAAAUUGUCUAUAUAUAUGACUAGAAUAUUUGUAUCACACUUUGGAUGUCUAACCAAUUAAAAAUCCCUUGCCGCAUUUGAGCAAAAGAUGAACACUAAAAAAAUAAAUGUUGCAGAGUUUCAUCACACCUCUACAAACCAAGCUAUAUGUAAUCUAUUAUUUGAAAGCUUUAAUGCAUGCAAAGACACUUUUAUAGGAACUAUGUGAAUGUGAUUCCAAAGACAGGCAUGUAAGGAAGAACCAUCAACAUUGCCUCUUUGAACUUUUACUCACUAGCUUUUAUAUACUUUUUACAAAUUGCUCACUCUCAUGAACAAUAUUUUCAAAAUCUUUUAUCAUCUCAUCUUUGUUGCAUUUAUU
Molecule: long non-coding RNA, 563 nt
Filed under: Medicago truncatula (barrel medic)
Lineage: Eukaryota; Viridiplantae; Streptophyta; Magnoliopsida; Fabales; Fabaceae
Description: lncRNA gene7520
Source: RNAcentral